This 497-nucleotide ribosomal RNA is filed under the name uncultured bacterium. Its description in RNAcentral is "partial 16S ribosomal RNA". It matches the Rfam family "Bacterial small subunit ribosomal RNA", at positions 28 to 507 of the family's 1533-position model. The record is from RNAcentral.
GAUGAACGCUGGCGGCGUGCCUAAUACAUGCAAGUCGAGCGAACGGACGAGAAGCUUGCUUCUCUGAUGUUAGCGGCGGACGGGUGAGUAACACGUGGAUAACCUACCUAUAAGACUGGGAUAACUUCGGGAAACCGGAGCUAAUACCGGAUGAUAUUUUGAACCGCAUGGUUCAAAAGUGAAAGACGGUCUUGCUGUCACUUAUAGAUGGAUCCACGCUGCAUUAGCUAGUUGGUAAGGUAACGGCUUACCAAGGCAACGAUGCAUAGCCGACCUGAGAGGGUGAUCGGCCACACUGGAACUGAGACACGGUCCAGACUCCUACGGGAGGCAGCAGUAGGGAAUCUUCCGCAAUGGGCGAAAGCCUGACGGAGCAACGCCGCGUGAGUGAUGAAGGUCUUCGGAUCGUAAAACUCUGUUAGUAGGGAAGAACAUAUGUGUAAGUAACUGUGCACAUCUUGACGGUACCUAAUCAGAAAGCCACGGCUAACUACGUG